CAAUCUGUAGCUUAAACUAAAGCAUCUUACUUACACUAAGAAAAUACUUGAUAAAAUCUGGUCGGGUUGA
This 70-nucleotide transfer RNA is filed under the name Ambystoma laterale (blue-spotted salamander). RNAcentral describes it as "tRNA-Val". It matches the Rfam family "tRNA". Rfam says of the family: Transfer RNA (tRNA) molecules are approximately 80 nucleotides in length. Their secondary structure includes four short double-helical elements and three loops (D, anti-codon, and T loops). Further hydrogen bonds mediate the characteristic L-shaped molecular structure. tRNAs have two regions of fundamental functional importance: the anti-codon, which is responsible for specific mRNA codon recognition, and the 3' end, to which the tRNAs corresponding amino acid is attached (by aminoacyl-tRNA synthetases). tRNAs cope with the degeneracy of the genetic code in two manners: having more than one tRNA (with a specific anti-codon) for a particular amino acid; and 'wobble' base-pairing, i.e. permitting non-standard base-pairing at the 3rd anti-codon position. Lineage: Eukaryota; Metazoa; Chordata; Amphibia; Caudata; Ambystomatidae. The record is from RNAcentral.